ACAUUGGGACUGAGAUACGGCCCAGACUCCUACGGGAGGCAGCAGUAGGGAAUUUUGCGCAAUGGACGAAAGUCUGACGCAGCAACUCCGCGUGAGGGAUGAAGGCCUUCGGGUUGUAAACCUCUGUUGAGUGGGAAGAAAAAGCUUUAUACUAAUAUUAUAAAGCCGUGACGGUACCAUUCAAGAAAUCUCCGGCUAACUACGUGCCAGCAGCCGCGGUAAUACGUAGGGAGCUAGCGUUGUUCGGAAUCACUGGGCGUAAAGGGAGCGUAGGCGGAAGAGUAAGUUAGAAGUGAAAUGUAUCGGCUCAACCGGUAACUUGCUUUUAAUACUGCUUUUCUUGAGUAUUGGAGAGGAUGAUGGAAUUCCAGGUGUAGCGGUGGAAUGCGUAGAUAUCUGGAAGAACACCAGUUGCGAAGGCGGUCAUCUGGCCAAAUACUGACGCUGAGGCUCGAAAGCUAGGGGAGCGAACAGGAUUAGAUACCCUGGUAGUCCUAGCCUUAAACGAUGGACACUAGAUGCCGGAAGUGUUAUGCUUUCGGUGUCGAAGCUAACGCAUUAAGUGUCCCGCCUGGGGAGUACGCUCGCAAGGGUGAAACUCAAAGGAAUUGACGGGGGCCCGCACAAGCGGUGGAGCAUGUGCUUUAAUUCGAUGCAACGCGAAGAACCUUACCUGGUCUUGACAUGGGAAUGAAAGCCUUUAGAGAUAAAGGCCCUUCCGCAAGGAACAUUCUACACAGGUGCUGCAUGGUUGUCGUCAGCUCGUGUCGUGAGAUGUUGGGUUAAGUCCCGCAACGAGCGCAACCCUUGUCCUUAGUUGCCAUCAGGUAAUGCUGGGAACUCUAAGGAGACUGCCUGGAUUAACCAGGAGGAAGGUGGGGAUGACGUCAAAUCCUCAUGGCCCUUACGACCAGGGCUAGACGCGUGCUACAAUGGGCGGUACAACGGGAUGCUAACUCGUGAGAGUACGCUAAUCCCUUAAAACCGUUCUCAGUUCGGAUUGGAGUCUGCAAUUCGACUUCAUGAAGGUGGAAUCGCUAGUAAUCGCGGAUCAGCAUGCCGCGGUGAAUACGUUCCCGGGCCUUGUACACACCGCCCGUCAAGCCAUGAAAGAUGGUAGUACCCGAAGCCGUUUCUCUAACCGUAAGGAAGAAAACGUCGAAGGUAAGACUAUUAAUUGGGGCUAAGUCGAAACAAGGUA
This 1201-nucleotide ribosomal RNA is filed under the name metagenome. Its description in RNAcentral is "bacterial SSU rRNA". It matches the Rfam family "Bacterial small subunit ribosomal RNA", at positions 310 to 1498 of the family's 1533-position model. The record is from RNAcentral.